Molecule: long non-coding RNA, 550 nt
Organism: Sapajus apella (tufted capuchin)
Lineage: Eukaryota; Metazoa; Chordata; Mammalia; Primates; Cebidae
Exons: 2
Source: RefSeq, a predicted model, not a curated record
UCUCAUUUGGGCAUUAGUGUUGAAAUUAAUUAAAAUGUUUAAGCCAUAGGAGGCAGGCUACCUCGUCAGGACCUGGCUCUGCCCUCGGAGUCAGUCUGGAUCCAGGAGUGAUUCAUCUUACACAGAUGAGAGGGGGAUAAAAGGAAAAGAACAGUCAGGACAAAUGUGUUUUCAAUGGUGCUUAGCAGCAGGAGACCACUGGGACUUCAGAGCAAUGCUGCUGGAGUGUGACAUCAUAAUACGCCGAACACCAGAGUCUCAAGCCUCUUGGAGUUUAUGGGCCAAUUUCUCCCUAGAUGUGUGAGCUUGUUGUGCUGCCGUCAGUGGACUCACCAGCGGCCGAGCAGCUCAGAGUGACAGCGACUCAGCGUCUGGAAGCCCCACUGGGUUGUGAAAUGAACAAGGCCCUCUGUGCCCCUGAUCCAGCCCGGGCGAGCCCUGGGGCUCCAGAAGCGAGCACCUCCCAGCUCCUAAAGAGCAGACAUAUAUCCUGCCUUUAAGACAAGACUACAAUUGCAAAUCUGAGAAUAUAAAUUACACUUUCAUCUUU